AGCAUAUCAAUAAGCGGAGGAAAAGAAACUAACAAGGAUUCCCCUAGUAACUGCGAGUGAACCGGGAAAAGCUCAAAUUUUGAAUCUGGCGGUCGUCGAGGCCGUCCGAAUUGUAAUCUAGAGAAGCGUUUUCCGCGCUGGACCGUGUAUAAGUUUCCUGGAAUGGAACGUCGUAGAGGGUGAGAAUCCCGUCUUUGACACGGACUACCAGGGCUAUGUGAUGCGCUCUCGACGAGUCGAGUUGUUUGGGAAUGCAGCUCAAAUUGGGUGGUAAAUUCCAUCUAAAGCUAAAUACAGGCGAGAGACCGAUAGCGAACAAGUACCGUGAGGGAAAGAUGAAAAGAACUUUGGAAAGAGAGUUAAACAGUACGUGAAAUUGCUGAAAGGGAAACGCUUGAUGUCAGUCGCGUUGGCCGGGGAUCAACCUUGCUUAAUCGCUGGGGGUACUUCCUGGUGGACGGGUCAGCAUCAGUUUUGAUCGUCGGAAAAUGGCUUGAGGAAUGUGGCACUCUUUCGGGAGUGUGUUAUAGACUCUUGUCGAAUACGAUGGUUGGGAUUGAGGAACUCAGCACGACCUUAGGGUUCGGGACUUUGGUCCACGUUUGCGUGCUUAGGAUGCUGGCAUAAUGGCCUUAAGCGACCCGUCUUGAAACACGGACCAAGGAGUCUAACGUGCAU
Molecule: ribosomal RNA, 678 nt
Filed under: Rhizopogon exiguus
Lineage: Eukaryota; Fungi; Basidiomycota; Agaricomycetes; Boletales; Rhizopogonaceae
Description: LSU rRNA
Rfam family: Eukaryotic large subunit ribosomal RNA
Source: RNAcentral